AUCAAUGUUGUUGCGGUUAAAACGCUCGUAGUUGGAUUUUGGAUUGAUUAGACUCGGUCCGCGGAAACGUGUGUACUGGUUUGAUUAAUCUUCUUUCUAAAGACUUAGUGUGUUCUUCAUUGAGUGUGCUAAGGAUUUAGGACUUUUACUUUGAAAAAAUUAGAGUGUUCAAAGCAGGCUUUUUCUACGAAAAUUUACGCUUGAAUACAUUAGCAUGGAAUAAUCAAAAAGGACCUUGGUUCUAUUUGUUGGUUUAUUAUUAGAACUAAAGUAAUGAUUAAUAGGGAUAGUUGGGGGCAUUAGUAUUUAAUUGUCAGAGGUGAAAUUCUUGGAUUUAUGAAAGACUAACUACUGCGAAAGCAUUUGCCAAGGAUGUUUUCAUUAAUCAAGAACGAAAGUUAGGGGAUCGAAGACGAUCAGAUACCGUCGUAGUCUUAACCAUAAACUAUGCUGACUAGGGAUCAGUGAAUGUUAUUUUUGAUGACUUCAUUGGCACCUUAUGAGAAAUCAACGUCUUUGAGUUCCGGGGGGAGUAUGGUCGCAAGGCUGAAACUUAAAGGAAUUGACGGAAGGGCACCACCAGGAGUGGAGCCUGCGGCUUAAUUUGACACAACACGGGGAAACUCACCAGGUCCAGACAUAGUUAGGAUUGAUAGAUUGAGAGCUCUUUCUUGAUUCUAUGGGUGGUGGUGCAUGGCCGUUCUUAGUUGGUGGAGUGAUUUGUCUGGUUAAUUCCGUUAACGAACGAGACCUUAACCUACUAAAUAGUUACACUAAUUUUUUAAUUGGUGGGAACUUCUUAGAGGGACUAUCGAUGUUUAAUCGAUGGAAGUUUGAGGCAAUAACAGGUCUGUGAUGCCCUUCGAUGUCCUGGGCUGCCCGCGCGCUACACUGAUGAAGUCAACGAGCUUAUAACCUUGGCCGAAAGGUCUGGGUAAUCUUUUGAAACUUCAUCGUGCUGGGGAUAGAUCAUUGCAAUUAUUGAUCUUCAACGAGGAAUUCCUAGUAAGCGCAAGUCAUCAGCUUGCGUUGAUUACGUCCCUGCCCUUUGUACACACCGCCCGUCGCUACUACCGAUUGAAUGGUUUAGUGAGAUUUUCGGGCCGAGGAAUAUUAAUAUUGGCAACAGUAUAUAUUUUUUGGGAAGUUACUCAAACUUGAUCAUUUAGAGGAAGUAAAAGUC
RNAcentral lists this ribosomal RNA (1183 nucleotides) under metagenome. Its description in RNAcentral is "bacterial SSU rRNA". It matches the Rfam family "Eukaryotic small subunit ribosomal RNA", at positions 603 to 1790 of the family's 1831-position model. The record is from RNAcentral.